UACAUUAGCAUGGGAUAAUGGAAUAGGACCCUGUCCUCCUAUUUUCAGUUGGUUUUGGCAGCGCGAGGACUAGGGUAAUGAUUAAUAGGGAUAGUUGGGGGCAUUAAUAUUUAAUUGUCAGAGGUGAAAUUCUUGGAUUUAUGAAAGAUUAACUUCUGCGAAAGCAUCUGCCAAGGAUGUUUUCAUUAAUCAAGAACGAAAGUUAGGGGAUCGAAGACGAUCAGAUACCGUCGUAGUCUUAACCAUAAACGAUGCCGACCAGCGAUUAGGAGACGUUGAAUACAAAACACCACCAUCGGUGCGGUCGUCCUUGGCGUCGGUCUUUCGGGGCCGGCGCGGGGACGGCUUAGCCCGGUGGCACCGGUGAAUGACUCCC
Molecule: ribosomal RNA, 376 nt
Filed under: Acanthamoeba genotype T4
Lineage: Eukaryota; Discosea; Longamoebia; Acanthamoebidae
Description: SSU rRNA
Rfam family: Eukaryotic small subunit ribosomal RNA
Source: RNAcentral